CGGCGAGUGAAGCGGCAACAGCUCAAAUUUGAAAUCUGGCCCCCUCAGGGCCCGAGUUGUAAUUUGCAGAGGGUGCUUUGGCGUUGGCGCCGGCCUAAGUUCCUUGGAACAGGACGUCAUAGAGGGUGAGAACCCCGUACGUGGCAGGCCGCCUCCGCCGUGUAAAGCCCCUUCGACGAGUCGAGUUGUUUGGGAAUGCAGCUCUAAAUGGGAGGUAAAUUCCUUCUAAAGCUAAAUACUGGCCAGAGACCGAUAGCGCACAAGUAGAGUGAUCGAAAGAUGAAAAGCACUUUGGAAAGAGAGUCAAAAAGCACGUGAAAUUGUUGAAAGGGAAGCGCUUGCAGCCAGACUUGCCUGUAGUUGCUCAUCCGGGCCCCGGCCCGGUGCACUCUUCUGCGGGCAGGCCAGCAUCAGUCUAGGCGGCCGGAUAAAGGCCCCGGGAACGUAGCUCCCUCCGGGGAGUGUUAUAGCCCGGGGCGCAAUGCGGCCAGCUUGGACUGAGGUCCGCGCAUCUGCUAGGAUGCUGGCGUAAUGGCUGUAAGCGGCCCGUCUUGAAACACGGACCAAGGAGUCUAACAUCUAUGCGAGUGUUUGGGUGUCAAGCCCGGGCGCGAAAUGAAAGUGAACGGAGGUGGGAACCCCUCCCGGGGUGCACCAUCGACCGAUCCUGAUGUCUUCGGAUGGAUUUGAGUAAGAGCAUAGCUGUUGGGACCCGAAAGAUGGUGAACUAUGCCUGAAUAGGGUGAAGCCAGAGGAAACUCUGGUGGAGGCUCGCAGCGGUUCUGACGUGCAAAUCGAUCGUCAAAUUU
RNAcentral lists this ribosomal RNA (809 nucleotides) under Tetraploa hainanensis. RNAcentral's name for it is "Tetraploa sp. XT-2023a partial large subunit ribosomal RNA". It matches the Rfam family "Eukaryotic large subunit ribosomal RNA", at positions 87 to 912 of the family's 3401-position model. Lineage: Eukaryota; Fungi; Ascomycota; Dothideomycetes; Pleosporales; Tetraplosphaeriaceae. The record is from RNAcentral.